Molecule: ribosomal RNA, 497 nt
Filed under: uncultured bacterium
Lineage: Bacteria
Description: partial 16S ribosomal RNA
Rfam family: Bacterial small subunit ribosomal RNA
Source: RNAcentral
GAUGAACGCUGGCGGCGUGCCUAAUACAUGCAAGUCGAGCGAACGGACGAGAAGCUUGCUUUUCUGAUGUUAGCGGCGGACGGGUGAGUAACACGUGGAUAACCUACCUAUAAGACUGGGAUAACUUCGGGAAACCGGAGCUAAUACCGGAUAAUAUUUUGAACCGCAUGGUUCAAAAGUGAAAGACGGUCUUGCUGUCACUUAUAGAUGGAUCCGCGCUGCAUUAGCUAGUUGGUAAGGUAACGGCUUACCAAGGCAACGAUGCAUAGCCGACCUGAGAGGGUGAUCGACCACACUGGAACUGAGACAUGGUCCAGACUCCUACGGGAGGCAGCAGUAGGGAAUCUUCCGCAAAGGGCGAAAGCCUGACGGAGCAACGCCGCGUGAGUGAUGAAGGUCUUCGGAUCGUAAAACUCUGUUAUUAGGGAAGAACAUAUGUGUAAGUAACUGUGAACAUCUUGACGGUACCUAAUCAGAAAGCCACGGCUAACUACGUG